ACACGUAGGUAACCUACCCUCAGGACUGAGAUAACCCCGGGAAACUGGGGCUAAUAUUAGAUAGAUAAAAGAUACUGGAAUGUUCUUUUAUCCAAAGCUUUUGCACCUGAGGAUGGGCCUGCGUCCGAUUAGGUUGUUGGUGGGGUAAUGGCCCACCAAGCCUACGAUCGGUACGGGCAGUGAGAGCUGAAGCCCGGAGUUGGGGACUGAGACAAGGCCCCAGGCCCUACGGGGCGCAGCAGGCGCGAAACCUCUGCAAUGCGGGAAACCGUGACAGGGGGAUCCCAAGUGCUCAUGCAUUGCAUGGGCUGUUCUUUGGUCUAAGUAACCAGAGGAGUAAGAGCUGGGCAAGACCGGUGCCAGCCGCCGCGGUAAUACCGGCAGCUCAAGUGGUAGCCGCGAUUAUUGGGCCUAAAGCGUUCGUAGCCGGAUAAGUAAGUCUUUGGUUAAAUCCUGCGACUUAACCGUGGGAAAUCUAGAGAUACUGCUUGUCUUGAGACCGGGAGAGGUUGGAGGUACU
Molecule: ribosomal RNA, 520 nt
Filed under: uncultured archaeon
Lineage: Archaea
Description: bacterial SSU rRNA
Rfam family: Archaeal small subunit ribosomal RNA
Source: RNAcentral